Molecule: long non-coding RNA, 1954 nt
Organism: Homo sapiens (human)
Lineage: Eukaryota; Metazoa; Chordata; Mammalia; Primates; Hominidae
Gene: FAM174A-DT
Product: FAM174A divergent transcript
Source: Ensembl
GAGGACGUGACCGUUUUGGAAGCAUUGUUCUUUUCACUGUUAGUGAGGAGCGGUCAAGGAUGCGUAUUAAGAAAGAUCUUAUUCACUGAUUUGAAGAGUUCAUGCAUCGAGCCAGUAGGCUGUGCACAUGGGUAAAAACUGGCUGCGGCUAAACAGGCCUCAUCGGAGCACAAAGUUCCAAGUGACUUCAAAGGGUUUUCUGUACUUGGAGCAGCUCUAUGGGACAUGGAAGAUGAGAAAUGAACCGACACCAGAGGUGCAAUGAAAGGUAAAACUCAUAGCAUCACCACAGCUCUUAGGUAAGUGGCAGCCUAAAUUACUGCAUCUGGAUAUAUGAAUCUUAUGGGUUCAUGAUGGAAAAGAUGACAAGCAUUAAGGCCAAAAAUAAAUCUGAGUUUGUUCACUGGAUGCAGGAAAAGUUUUCCUAACCAAAUAAUGUGGGUAACAUUUCAUUAUUAGCAUGGAAAUAUGUCCACUUUCAUGUUUAGAGAAGGAAAUAGUAAAUGAAUGAUCAAACAUAAAAGCAAAAUACAGCAUUCACAGUAGGUAUCCAAUGUAACAUGCUAUUUAGAUAAAAACAGUCCCUUCAAAGUCCAGUAUGUUUUUAAAAGCCUGAUAUUUACAGUUGUAUGAUUUCUAGGGAAAUUGAGAAAUUAAAUAUAUAUCCAGCAACAUACAGAAGAAACUCUGUAUAUCCAUUUGUACCAGCCUCUCUUCUCUCUAAAAGAUUGGCCUUCGGAAAGUGAAGGAAGAUUGGAUUCAGACACUAUGUCCUCUUACACAAAUUGUUGCAAUAACUUGUCAUAAACAGGAAAAUAUAAAAUUAAAUGCAAUGUUUAUAUACAUAUAAAUGUUAAAAAGAGCACAAUAUUACAAAAUUAGGUGGUUUAUAUUUUAGGUAGAUUGUAUGUGUACUUGAUAAAAUAUUAUAAAAUUUGCAUUUUUGUUAACUUAAUUCUUUGAAUAAUUGUGAUUUGAUAUUAAUCAAUCUGAAAUUUUUUCUCCAGGAUUUAAGAUGUUUAUUCUCUCUUAAUUUAAGUAUCAAUUUAAGUAUUUGCACUUGUGGACUUUAUUUCUUUUUAUUUUCAUGAAGAUUCCCACCUUACAAAUAUCACUUUCAGGGUUCUUAGGGAUCAUAUUAUUAUUUUACAAUUUAUUGAAAAUGGCAUGAGGUUAGAUAUCAUCAGAUUCUUUUGGAAAGUUAUUAUAAACAAGAACAUGUUUCCCUUUUUAGCUGAAUGACAGUAUAUCUGUUUAGCAUGAAUACUUAAAAGCAGCUUGAAUUUCAUUGUUCAUGCUCAUCAUUUACAGUUUUCUAUAGCAAUAUUAUUUUUUCUGGAAUGUGCCUUAGAAUGCAGACAAUAAAGGCUGAAUGAGAGAAAUGUUAGGCUAGGCUUAACAAAACACAUUGCAAUUAUUGUUUCUUCAAUUAUGUCUAAAAUGAUUGCUUAUAAAACAAAAUUACAUGAUAAUAUUAUCUUAAAACCAGCUAUAUUCAAUAAUUGUCUUCUCACUAUCUUUCUAAUGUGUUAGCACUCAUUCUAUACAGUUUGUAUUAAUAUAUCUUAUACUCUACCUCUAUCCCUCUUAUCAGGCUUCACUUUAACUAGAUAUUUAGGAUAUUAUCUUUACCUGGGAAUGAAAUUAUGUGAUUGGAGGAAGAGAUUCCCUAUAAUUGGCAAUAGGUUUCCUCCUCUAAAAUGUUAGGUCUUUUUGUUUUCUUCUUCUUCUUUAUUCUGGGAUGUGGAUGUGACCUCUUGGUACUGAUUGAAAUUUAUAGUGUUGUAUACCACUGUCAACUUUCCCAAUGUCUGACAGCUUAACAGGGCCCCAAUUGCAGCCACUGCUGCCCACCUUGUUCUUCAGCUUCACUUCUUGAAACAACCUUCUCCACGGUUUCAUGAGAGCAUCUGCUUUUCACUGCAUGGUAUUUGACUCCAAGAUUCACACCUGC